UCCCAGGACCCUGAGAUCAUGACCUGAGCUGAAAGCAGAGGCUUAACCCACUGAGCCACCCAGGCACCCCGUCCACCAUGGGCUUUAGAUCAGGGAGGGCCUUGGCAGGAAACAGCUUCAUUUCACCCUAUUCAAGCAGGAAACGUUUACUUUCCUAUAAGAGCUACUCACAGAGGGGGUGAGUGGGGUUAGGGAAGCCAGCCAGAGAGGCUGGCGAUCUCUGGGGCCAGCAACAGUGGGAGCCAAUACUGCCCCUUGGGUUGCAGGGGCGAGGUGCGGCGUAAACGGAGCCCAUGAGGGCUGGAACCACAGAGACGAGUGAGUCCAGCAUGAGGGAGUGAACCACAGAGAGAAUCCAGCGUGAGGGUCAUGUUCAGAGAGGGGUGAGAAUACAUAUUGUGACAUGAUCUCUCAAUUCACGCUCCCUCCUAUCUGCAGCCAAUGCCUUCCAUGAGCUACGCCCAUUCAGGAGCUAGAGAGCAAGGGGUCUGGUCAGGUUCAAGAGGUGAACCUCCUGAACAAAGAAAGUGAAGCCCAGCGCCCAGAUAGGGCUCAAGUGUGUGGCUGUCGCACUUGGAGAGGAAUUUGGAGCGUGUGUGUCUCCGGAGCAUUCUCCAGCCCCUUUUUAUCGGGAGUCUCAUUUUAAAGGCCCGUUCUUCAGGCUACAGAUCUCCCCGCUCUUCACUGACACAUGCAGGCCGUGCACACUGUGGAUCCAGCCUGUGCUUCUUGCCCUAUGGAAAUUCCCUUUCUUCCUCCUCUUUCCUUCUCCUCUUCCCUGGAUAAUCUGCGUUCCAGAGAGCAUCUCAUUAUGGGAAAAACAGGCCAGCUCACCCCAUAGCCUUGGCCGUCAGGGCCUAAGCAUCUUACAUGUACAAAUAACUUGAUCCUUAGGUCAGCCCUGUGGGGUGGUGUGGAUUAUCCCCAUUUUACAGAUGGGAAAAGCGAGGCACGGAGAAAUUAUGUAACUUCUCUAGUGUCCUACAUGCUAGUAAAUGACAAAGCUGGGCUUUUUGAACCCAGGCAGAUAGGUUCUAGAUGCUACGCUCUUGACAGAUCACGAUACUCUCCUGCCUUUUGCAGGACUGAUGAGUCCAGCCGGGGACAUCAGAGAGAGAACCUGCUGAGCUCUGGUUCAGAAGGUCACAGGGGACAGCAGUCAGAGUUUCCUUUUCCAGGGUCCAUCCAAGGGACAGGACUCCGUGGCUUCCAAUAGGAUAUCCUUCGGUUCUUGCUGUCUCUUGGGCAACCUGCAUAUCUGUGGUCUCUCUCCCUGGGGACUGGAAAUGACAGCUGGGACUUGCUUUGUGACAUCACGUCAUGGGAAUUUGAGAGCCCGGAGGCUUUGAGGUUGGCGCAGUGAUAGUAAUUACGGGCUUCUGAGCAUGACGGGGAGGAUGAAUGAGAUAGUGCAUGGAAAGAGGCUGGCACAGUGCCGGGCACUCAGAAGGCAGUCCGUGGGGCCGUCAGGCUGGGCCUCGUCCAUUGUUCCAUAGUCUGAUAAUUCCUAAGCCUGGAAUUCAGAUCGGAUGGUCUGGGGCAUCCCUGAGAGAGCUUGCUUUUUCAGGAGGGGAAGGGAAAGAAGAACUGAGAUUUGCAGGGUCCUUCCCUAAGCCAGGCACCCUGGGAAGCCCUUGACAUACAUCAUCUCAUAAUCUUCGAAAACAGCCCUAAGGAAAGAUACCCAUUCUACAGAUGCAGAGACUGAGGUCCAGAGACGGGCUUGUUCAAAGUCACUCAGCUGGUAAGUGGUGCAUCUGGGCUUCUGAUGAUUUCCUUCACUUAACCUUUUCUCUGAAGCAUCACUCAUUUCUCCUUUUCUACAGUGUCCCUUCUUGCAGCAUGCAGGCAUGUCUUUACAGUUCUAGAACUUUUUUCUUUUUUUAAUUGAAGGGUAAUUUAUAUGCAGCAAAAUUCAGGUUUUGGUGUUAGGUUCUAGGAGUUUGAUAAAUGCCUACAGUCAAAUCACUGCCACCGGGAUCAGGACCUAGAGAUUUCUAGUUCUAUCAGCCCCCCAAGUUCCCUUGUGCUCCUUUCAAGUCAGCCUUGGGGAUACCCCGCCGUGUCCCUGUUUUCUUCCACCUCUUUCUGUUUCCUUUGGAUGUUUCUUGCUCUCCUCAAUCUCCCAACAUUGGGAGAUCUUGCAAUAUUUUCCAGUUCUCUUCUCAGUAGUGUGUCCCUACUAGAUGCCCCACAGGUUCUAUGACUUUUGGUGACAACUCUAUGCUAAAUUGUGAGUUCCCGUCUCAUCUCCUAUUCUGGGCUUAGAACUUCAUUCAGCAGCCCACCGGCCCCUCCAACAGAGCUGAUAUUUCAGAUGUCCAAAGCAAAACUCUCAGCACUCUCCUUCGGAAACUUCUUUCUCAAGUAUGGCAAUUUCCUGAGAAGGACUCACUUCCCGUGGAGAACAGAGGUCCCAAAUGCUGACUUCUUCUCUUCUGCUCUGUUCGCUGUAAUCCAAACUCUCACCUGAUUCGGUCGAGCUGGCCUUCGAACUCUGCCUUCGAUAAGAAUAGUGAGUCCCAGAGCGGUUAAGAGGCUUCUUCAGGAUCACUCAGCUGGCUACCAUCAAGGCGGAACUUGAACUCUUCCCCUGUGGUCCCUGUGCUCUGCCCUCUUCUAGAUUUAACUUUGUACCUCUGAACCCAAAGGCCUGCCUGACAACAGGUCCCCUCCCUUACCUGGCUUCUCAAUCAGGAGAGGAGGAAGCUUGGGCCCUCCCUCUGACCCACCCAGCCACCCACCCAAGGUACCAUUAAAGUUAAUUGUUUUUACUGCCAGUUUAACAUAGUCUUGUAAAUUUUUUUAUGAUGUGGCCCAGGAACGCUGAGCUGUGUGCAGAACUCAGGGACAAAAUACAGUUUGAAUACAGAAGCAUGGCCCCAGCACUAGAGGGGGAGGGGGGCCUCCACCUGGAGGUUGUAAGAGGGGGUGCCCUCAGCUCUCCAGGGGACCCUCUUGCACUCACCCUUGUAUUACCUGGGUGAUGGUUUCCUAUUGAGGCAUAGCGUCACUGACUGGAUAGAUAGUUAAGCCUCUUCACCUAAACUGUGGAAUCCUCUGGUGUCGAAACCCCUACAGUGCUUGGUAGAGGGUUCUGGAACUUUUAGAAAGGUUAUGGGUAACUCUGGCACAGAAGGUGUGGCUCCAGGCGUGCUGGGUGCUUUCCAGCCUCGGGAUGCACAGAUAGGCUGGUCCAAGCAGGUACAAGGUGGGUGCCAGGGGCGCAUAUUCUAGGGUGUGGGGAACUUUGAUCGGUUCAGGACUUCCCUAUUCUACUCUUGCCUGCCUGGAGAGCCCAGCCUUCCCGGACUGUGCGUUUAAGAUGCUUAGCCCCCCCGGUUUGUGGAGAAGACAGCAGUUGCUAAUCACUGGGCAGCGCUUGGCUUCCACGUGGGGACUUUCUGGGUGCAUCUCCAUCCUAAGGCUCUGUUUUGGGAUUUGCCCGUGGUUGGUAUUAAAUCGCUACUUCUAAUGCACCCAGAAGAGUGCCGCCUGGCACACUCAACCUCUGUAAUGGGUGACUUUAUGGGGGCAUUCCUGAUGAAGCCCAAGUAUUCAUGAGGCACCUACUGCGUGCAGAGCCUUGUGGUAGGUACUAAGAAGCCUGACGUCCUCGCAUUGAAGGGGAGUAGGCAAACUCCGCAGACUUAGGAACGGAGGAACCGAGCAUCAAACCCACACAGGUCGAGCGCGGGUUCUGAAAGCGUAUUCCGAGAGCCGCCGCACCUGCAUGGCCCGCCCCGGGAACCUGUUAGAAAUGCAAAUUCUCCCGCCGCACUGCAGACCUACUGAAUCCCGCGCCUUGGGGACCGGGCCGGCAGUCUGGUUCUAGCAGGCCCCUCAGGUGACUGCCGUGCUCACUGAGGCUGAGAACCUGCGAUACAACGGACGUAAGCGCGGGCUUUGCAGGGAGGUUUGAAGUUUCUGGUUAGUUUCGAGGUUUGGGUCAAGAAAUUCUAAGAAGCUCAGCGGGGGUUGGAGGGCAUGGAGGGGAUGGGGAGGGAGUGGAGUGUGGGUUGGAGAAAUCCGCUCCAGCCCGGCGAGGAUGAGGAUGAAGGGCAGAGCAGCCCUCUCGCCCUAGAGCCUCCUGGGUCAGAGCCUCCGUUCUCUGCAGGAUGGACGACCGCGCACGACCCAAUUCGAGCAGGUCAGAGAGGUGCCUCAGGACGUGCCCACUGCGAUCUGAAACCUGUAAACCCUGAGUUCAGGCCCACUUCGUCUCUCCCGGGCGGCCUGCUUUGGGGGCAGCAUGACUUUCGCCAGCCUCAACUUCCCCGACCUGGCGGGAUCACUGCGGUUCGAAUGAGGCUAGAGGCUUGUAGAAGCUCCGUGAAGUUACGGAGUCCCGCCUCAGGACCAGUUUCCAGCGCAGCUCAGUUUAAGGACUGCACCUCCUCUGGCCCCUGCUAUGUAAGCAGGUUACAAUACUGCAUCUCCCUGACCUGAAUCUGGCCCCGAGCUGGACCAUCCUUGCGGUGAUCACAGAUACCCAAAGCCAGAGUCCUGGGCGGUGGAUUGUUCCUGCAACAACUGGUCUCAUCUGCGCUCCAGCCGAUAGCUCCAGAAAUGUGCCGAUGAAUGUUCUGGGGCUGAUUUAUUGAGCUAAUUCUAUUCCUAGUGACUCUGCAGAGGGGGACAGAACUUUUCGCUACAGAAAUGUCAGGUCUUCCUUACCUGCUCCAGGAAAUGGGAGAGGGUGGGUAAAGGGGACUGGUGCCCAAGGCAACAGAUGGAGGCAGCCUGAAGGCCGAGCCAGGAGAAGCCUCUUGGAAGACCUACUGUGGAUAUCAGUCGGCGUAUCACCUACCUGGAGGCUGGGUAUUGACUGGAGACAGGGGCGGACAGCGUGGAUAAACCAUUGUCUCUUCACUUACAGUUGGAUGGGCCCUGAGAAUUAUUUUACAGAGCCUGAGAAGGGCAUUCACUUGGCCAAGGCCACUGGCGUCAGGCCUCCCAUGGCCUUGAACUUGACCUUACCCGUGCUGCAGGCUGCCCAGUGGAGCUGUGAGCAGCAGGGGUCAGGGACUGUGGGGUGGUGGAAGUGGUGAUGGGAGUUGUCUCCCUAAUGGCCCCAGGGGUUGUGUGGGGGUGGCCCAGCUCUGACACCCAUCCUGGGCCUCCUGGUGCCUGAGCCCCAGAGACGGGGCCACAUUUUUCCACAUUUUGGGCUGGAGAGCCCUGCCAAGCUUUGGGGCCUGGGAAGGAGGAAGAGAAAGCAAGGCCCGGAGGGUGGGCAGCGAGGGGAGGGAGCAGUGAACAAAGGGGCCGGCGCUGGAUCGGGCAGGGCCGCUGAGUGAUGAUCCCCAGGCCCCGAGGUUGGGGCGGGCUGCCAGGAUGCACAGGGGGCGGGGAGGGAGAUUCCCUGAGACCGAGGCACAUGGAGGAGACCCAGACAGAGGUCGGAAAUAGAUAGUGAGAGAGAGAAAAACACACCGGAGAGACGGAGGCAGGUUUCGAGGUUGGCAGUUGAAGGGAGAAACAGAGAGAGAGAAGGGGACGAGGCACAUGGGGAGACAUGGGGAGACAGAAAGUAGGGACAGGAAGGCUGCAGAGAGGGAGAGACAGGGAAACAGGCAGACCCAGAGAGACAGAGGAGGAAGCAUAAGCACAGGAGAGAGAGAGACAGAGAGUGAGGGACACAGAGGAAGAGCACAGGUGCUUAAGACAGAGAACCAGAGGGUGGGAUCUGUAGCCAACAGCGGACAAAAAACCAAAUCGAUGUAAAAUCAUUCAUUUCAGGGCAGGGAUUUGAGAUUAUCUGACACGUGGGUCCCUGGCUGUCAUAGUAAAGGUCUUUGGCUACAA
Molecule: RNA transcript, 5808 nt
Organism: Mustela erminea (ermine)
Lineage: Eukaryota; Metazoa; Chordata; Mammalia; Carnivora; Mustelidae
Exons: 5
Source: RefSeq, a predicted model, not a curated record